Molecule: small nuclear RNA, 103 nt
Organism: Lagenorhynchus albirostris (white-beaked dolphin)
Lineage: Eukaryota; Metazoa; Chordata; Mammalia; Artiodactyla; Delphinidae
Source: RefSeq, a predicted model, not a curated record
UGCUGGCGUCGGCAGCACAUAUACUAAAAUCGGAACGAUACAGAGAUGAGCAUGGCCCCUGCACAAGGAGGACAUGCAAAUUCGUGAAGCGUUCCAUAUUUUU